UGCAAACUGCGAAUACCGGAGAAUGUUAUCACGGGAGACACACGGCGGGUGCUAACGUCCGUCGUGAAGAGGGAAACAACCCAGACCGCCAGCUAAGGUCCCAAAGUCAUGGUUAAGUGGGAAACGAUGUGGGAAGGCCCAGACAGCCAGGAUGUUGGCUUAGAAGCAGCCAUCAUUUAAAGAAAGCGUAAUAGCUCACUGGUCGAGUCGGCCUGCGCGGAAGAUGUAACGGGGCUAAACCAUGCACCGAAGCUGCGGCAGCGACGCUGAUGCGUUGUUGGGUAGGGGAGCGUUCUGUAAGCCUGUGAAGGUGUGCUGUGAGGCAUGCUGGAGGUAUCAGAAGUGCGAAUGCUGACAUAAGUAACGAUAAAGCGGGUGAAAAGCCCGCUCGCCGGAAGACCAAGGGUUCCUGUCCAACGUUAAUCGGGGCAGGGUGAGUCGACCCCUAAGGCGAGGCCGAAAGGCGUAGUCGAUGGGAAACAGGUUAAUAUUCCUGUACUUGGUGUUACUGCGAAGGGGGGACGGAGAAGGCUAUGUUGGCCGGGCGACGGUUGUCCCGGUUUAAGCGUGUAGGCUGGUUUUCCAGGCAAAUCCGGAAAAUCAAGGCUGAGGCGUGAUGACGAGGCACUACGGUGCUGAAGCAACAAAUGCCCUGCUUCCAGGAAAAGCCUCUAAGCAUCAGGUAACAUCAAAUCGUACCCCAAACCGACACAGGUGGUCAGGUAGAGAAUACCAAGGCGCUUGAGAGAACUCGGGUGAAGGAACUAGGCAAAAUGGUGCCGUAACUUCGGGAGAAGGCACGCUGAUAUGUAGGUGAAGUCCCUCGCGGAUGGAGCUGAAAUCAGUCGAAGAUACCAGCUGGCUGCAACUGUUUAUUAAAAACACAGCACUGUGCAAACACGAAAGUGGACGUAUACGGUGUGACGCCUGCCCGGUGC
RNAcentral lists this ribosomal RNA (938 nucleotides) under Escherichia coli. Its description in RNAcentral is "partial 23S ribosomal RNA". It matches the Rfam family "Bacterial large subunit ribosomal RNA", at positions 948 to 1869 of the family's 2925-position model. The record is from RNAcentral. Lineage: Bacteria; Pseudomonadati; Pseudomonadota; Gammaproteobacteria; Enterobacterales; Enterobacteriaceae.